UACAGAGGUCCCGAGCGUUGUUCGGAAUUACUGGGCGUAAAGGGUUCGUAGGUGGCCUGCUAAGUCACACGUGAAAUCCCUCAGCUUAACUGGGGAACUGCGUGUGAGACUGGAGGGCUUGAGUGCAGGAGAGGAACGCGGAAUUCCAGGUGUAGCGGUGAAAUGCGUAGAUAUCUGGAGGAACACCGGUGGCGAAGGCGGCUCUCUGGGACGGUACUGACGCUGAGACGCGAAAGCGUGGGGAGCGAACAGG
Molecule: ribosomal RNA, 253 nt
Filed under: uncultured bacterium
Lineage: Bacteria
Description: partial 16S ribosomal RNA
Rfam family: Bacterial small subunit ribosomal RNA
Source: RNAcentral